CCUGGGAACUGCGUUNUGAACUGGGUGACUAGAGUGUGUCAGAGGGAGGUAGAAUUCCACGNGUAGCAGUGAAAUGCGUAGAGAUGUGGAGGAAUACCGAUGGCGAAGGCAGCCUCCUGGGAUAACACUGACGUUCAUGCCCGAAAGCGUGGGUAGCAAACAGGAUUAGAUACCCUGGUAGUNCACGCCCUAAACGAUGUCGAUUAGCUGUUGGGCAGCAUGACUGCUUAGUAGCGAAGCUAACGCGUGAAAUCGACCGCCUGGGGAGUACGGUCGCAAGAUUAAAACUCAAAGGAAUUGACGGGGACCCGCACAAGCGGUGGAUGAUGUGGACUAAUUCGAUGCAACGCGAAGAACCUUACCUGGUCUUGACAUGUACGGAACCCUCCAGAGACGGAGGGGUGCCUUCGGGAGCCGUAACACAGGUGCUGCAUGGCUGUCGUCAGCUCGUGUCGUGAGAUGUUGGGUUAAGUCCCGCAACGAGCGCAACCCUUGUCAUUAGUUGCCAUCAUUAAGUUGGGCACUCUAAUGAGACUGCCGGUGACAAGCCGGAGGAAGGUGGGGAUGACGUCAAGUCCUCAUGGCCCUUAUGACCAGGGCUUCACACGUCAUACAAUGGUCGGUACAGAGGGUAGCCAAGCCGCGAGGUGGAGCCAAUCUCACAAAACCGAUCGUAGUCCGGAUUGCACUCUGCAACUCGAGUGCAUGAAGUCGGAAUCGCUAGUAAUCGCAGGUCAGCAUACUGCGGUGAAUACGUUCCCGGGUCUUGUACUCACCGCCCGUCACACCAUGGGAGUGGGGGAUACCAGAAGU
RNAcentral lists this ribosomal RNA (813 nucleotides) under uncultured bacterium. Its description in RNAcentral is "bacterial SSU rRNA". It matches the Rfam family "Bacterial small subunit ribosomal RNA", at positions 613 to 1427 of the family's 1533-position model. The record is from RNAcentral.